AGGCCUAACACAUGCAAGUCGAGCGCGCCCUUCGGGGUGAGCGGCGGACGGGUUAGUAACGCGUGGGAAUAUGCCCGACACUAAGGAAUAGCCUCUGGAAACGGAGAGUAAUACCUUAUACGCCCUUCGGGGGAAAGAUUUAUCGGUGACGGAUUAGCCCGCGUUAGAUUAGAUAGUUGGUGGGGUAAUGGCCUACCAAGUCUACGAUCUAUAGCUGGUUUUAGAGGAUGAUCAGCAACACUGGGACUGAGACACGGCCCAGACUCCUACGGGAGGCAGCAGUGGGGAAUCUUGGACAAUGGGCGCAAGCCUGAUCCAGCCAUGCCGCGUGAGUGAUGAAGGCCUUAGGGUCGUAAAGCUCUUUCGCCAGAGAUGAUAAUGACAGUAUCUGGUAAAGAAACCCCGGCUAACUCCGUGCCAGCAGCCGCGGUAAUACGGAGGGGGUUAGCGUUGUUCGGAAUUACUGGGCGUAAAGCGCGCGUAGGCGGAUUAGUCAGUUAGAGGUGAAAUCCCGGGGCUCAACCCCGGAACUGCCUUUAAUACUGCUAGUCUUGAGUUCGAGAGAGGUGAGUGGAAUUCCGAGUGUAGAGGUGAAAUUCGUAGAUAUUCGGAGGAACACCAGUGGCGAAGGCGGCUCACUGGCUCGAUACUGACGCUGAGGUGCG
Molecule: ribosomal RNA, 665 nt
Filed under: Roseobacter sp. J504
Lineage: Bacteria; Pseudomonadati; Pseudomonadota; Alphaproteobacteria; Rhodobacterales; Roseobacteraceae
Description: bacterial SSU rRNA
Rfam family: Bacterial small subunit ribosomal RNA
Source: RNAcentral